GGAGACGUCGCAUAGCCCGGUCGAGUGCGCCUCACUGCUAACGAGGUAAGGGGUUAAACCCUUCAGGAGUUCAAAUCUCCUCGUCUCCGCCA
RNAcentral lists this transfer RNA (92 nucleotides) under Actinobacteria bacterium IMCC25003. Its description in RNAcentral is "tRNA-Ser". It matches the Rfam family "tRNA". From Rfam's summary of the family: Transfer RNA (tRNA) molecules are approximately 80 nucleotides in length. Their secondary structure includes four short double-helical elements and three loops (D, anti-codon, and T loops). The record is from RNAcentral. RNAcentral also lists the same sequence under 8 other names. Lineage: Bacteria; Bacillati; Actinomycetota.